AAAAAAAUACAGAAAUCCUAACCCUAAAAAAAAAAAAAAACUUUUUCUUUCACACCAGCCGCCCCCCCCUUUUGUUUUCAUUUUUUUGGUCUCCCGGAGUUGCUCCUCGGUUUGAUUUUUCUGACCCAAAAAACCGGCCACCCGAACCAGCCUCCCCCUGUUUUCAUCUUCUUCUCCGCCGUUCCCUUUUUCUCGGCCACAAACAAAUCCAAAACAACAGUCCGAAGCCGCCCCCCUCAAUAUUCAACCCGACAACCCCAUUGCUGCCUCUCACCAGCCAAAGAAACCGCCCCCCCCCUUACCUUUGAAACCAAAACAGAACCUUUUCUUUUUCUUCAUCGCCAUUUUCCAGCUUCUCCUGCUCUUCCCCCAUAAAAUCCUGGCCUCCACUCCGUAACCCCGCACCUUUUGAUUUGUUUUUGGCUUCUCCCUCAACUGACCAAACAGCAGCCCCCCAGCUUGAAUUUCUUUCCCCCGAUCUGUUCUUCUUUCUCUCCACCGCCGCAGGCCACGGUCUCCCACGCCAGCAGCAGCCUCGCCACCACCGAUCUCUAACCAACCGGCCAGCAGCAGCGUUUUCCUUCCCCAUCAGCGACCAAAACAGAGCCGUUCCCCCAUCUCCUCAGACCCACGGCUCCCGCUUCAGCCAGCGAGUCUUUCCUUCCUUAGCUGCCGAACAUCCUCCAGCGACAGCAAUAACCCACCGACGCCUUGACAGCAGAUCCGGUCACCCGAGACAGAGACGAGAGGAGGUAGAGAAACGGAAGAGACGAUCUGAAGAAGAAGAGGAAGCAGCAGAUCGGAGAAGAAAGAACAAAAAAAUCAGAUCCUAAAAUAAAGAAAUAAAAGCUUAAAAUCGACUGCUUGUUGCGUUUUGGGUGUUUUUGCAGGUAACACCGGCGAGGACGGGAAGAGGGGACGAAGCUGCCACCAGCCCCCCUGCUGCGUCCUUUUUUUUCCGGCGGCGCGUGAACCCACGCGCCGCCAGUGACGGUGGCGCGUGGGGAGACGCGCCACCACUGUUUGCUGCGGUGGCAGGAGGCUAUCAAUGCGAUUUCUGAAGUUUAGGGACUCUUUUUUUUGUAAUUUUUAAAUUAUGUAAUGUAUUUUUUUUUUAGUGUUUAGUUUUUAUAUUUUUUGUAAUGGGAUGUACAAAAAGAAAAGAAAGAGAAAAUAAUCAUAAAAAAGGGGUUGUGUGUGUUGGUGUAUUUUUUAUUCAGUUUUUAUAAUUUGUAUUUUGUAUUUGGGAUGGAAAAGAAAAAGAAAAGAAAGAAAAGAAACAAAAAUAGUGAAAGUGUAUGUGUGAGUUUGUAUUUUGUUUUAUUUAUUUAUAUAUUUUUUAAUGAUAAAAUUGCAAGGACUAAAAAAAGAAUUUAAUAUUUUGAUUGGAUCACGGUACAGAUUAUUAACUUAUACGUAAGUUGUAUUUCUAACAUCCGAUGAAAAGAACAAUUAUUAAAACUUUUUUUUCACACGUUCAAAAUCACGAAGCAGCUUACCUCAGGUAGGGUGCGUUAGGGGUGCUAAUACCUUCCCUAACCACAACCAGUCCCUUACCCGCGAAUCUCUGACAAGACCAGUACAUCCGGUUUCCUAGUAGCCCGCAAUCAAUUACUAGGUGGCGACUCCAACGAACCAAAUUCAAGCAACGCAAACAAAAGGAAUUAAAUCGCCAGCCGAUGCCGCGCGCGAUUUUUUUUGGGGUGCGACAGAAUGGCGACUCCACUGGGGAAGGUAUUUUUUCGAUUAUUGGACUAAGCUUUGUGUAUUUGAUGUGUUUAAGUUUUUGCAUUUUUAUCUUUUUUUGUUAAUAUUUAUUUCCAUGCAUUUUAUAGAAUUGUCUCAUGCAUCACCUGUAUUUAUUUUUGAAAGCACACACAAGCUUCUAGGUUAGGUGGGGAACUAGCGAUCUGCCCUAAGACUAUUGGUCAGGGUUCAGAUGCGUGAAACACCCAACUCAUAUCUGAGUGCAUGCUUGGUAAUGGUGGGUAUACGUGCCUUAACCAUUCCUUGCAACGCCCCCAAACUGUCUUUACGAAGAACGUCACUGGGCAGAUAUGAGACCCUUUUGAGACCAGAUAGAAAACUUACCCAUGUUCACAUAAUGAAUAGAACCUGUCCUUAGGUUGUAUGUGCUAUCGUUUUUUGCAUAAGGGCAAACCCUUCUUGAAGCAUCUUGAACUCAAGACUUGUGGGUGACACAUUGGCCGUUGCUCCGAAAAUUUUCAUUGUAGAGUUUGGGCAAAAAUCACGAUUCUUGUCCAUCAUACAAGAGUUACGACCAUAUUGUCACCUCUCGAAGGGAGAGUUCAUCAUAUAGAUUACAUGUUCAUACAUUUAUCAUGCAUGAACCGGGUCGAAACGUAGGUCCCUUGUACAAGUUGUGCUGCACAAGAUUGAAGAAAAAUAAUGGAAGUGAACAAAGGAGUCAGAUAUAGGUUCAGUAUCAGAUUAAGGUUGAGAGCAUCAAGAGUGAAGUAGCGGGACUCAGAUCUGCUCGAACAAGUGUUGAGCAUCAAAUGAAAAGAGAAUGUCUGCACAGUUUUCUGUGGGAACACUGCUUGUUCACGUCCAAUUGAAGCUGUACCUUUCCUUUUCAGUCAUGAACAACAGCAACAACGCCUUCAGUCAUCAACUAAUGACAACUCUGAUUCCUGUCCAGUUGCGCUGUUAAGUAUUCAUCGCCUCCACAUCAUCUAAUGGAACCAAACGACUACUAACCUCCUGUCAUGGUGCAUUAGUCUGCUUUGAAGUUACCCCAAUUAUGAGCUCAAUUCCAGUUCAGCAGCACAAGAUGUUGGUCUAAAAAAAAAAAAAACCAUGAUCAGACACUGAAUUUCAACGCGGUAGAGCUCUCUCUGUAGAGAUUUAUUUGUGGAUCUGUCAAUGGCAAAUGCAAAAGGGAAUGUAUUAAUUUCAUAUGCUUUGAAACUAUUUCCCACCAGUGGCACCAGCAAAACAUUGUAGUAGGCAGAAGAGUCAGACCUGGUCUGAUAAUAUUAGUAGUUGUCAAACUUCAAUGUGGCAGAGCUCUCUCUACAAAAAUCCAUUUAUGGCUCUGCAAAUUGGGAAUGCAAGAGGGGAUUUACUAAUUGCAUAUGCUACAAAUAUUUCUCUCAUCAGUUUCAGCACGAAGAAACUAUAGCAGGUUGAAGAGCCAGACUUGGCUUGAAAAAUAUGAGCAGACAUCAAACUUCAACGUAGCAGAGCUCUCCCGACAGGAAUCUGUUUGUGGAUCCGCAAGUGUGAAAUCCAAGAAGGAAUACAGUAGUUUCAGAUCAUUUAUGAUUUUUCUCCAACAGUGUCAGUAUUAAAAUGCAAAAGUAGAGAGAAGAUACAUGCCUAGACUGAAAAACAUGAAGAAUACUGAAACUUCAACAGAGCAGGACUUCCUCUAUAGGUGUUUGUUUGCUGCACUGUCAGUGAGAAAUUGAAGAGGGACGAAGGAGUUUUAGAUUCAUCAGGUGCUCUUCCAAUAAAGACAAUGUGUGAUUCCACACGUCGGUAGUGGCGAUACUACAAGUUUCUGGAUGCUGCCAAGAUUACCAAGCUGUUAGAAAGUUUUCUAACAAUCCUCAACCAACCAUAGCAACAUUGGAAGAUUGAAGGAUCUGCCAUGGAUUCUAGAACAAUGAUGAGAGGUGAAUCAGGAGAUGACUUUGACAGUGUGAACCCUUAAUUAUGUGGUAUAGCCAGGUCUCACGGCAUCAUCAAUUGCUCAAAAUAUCUUUGCCAAGAUGGGACAUUGCUCUGCCGUUUAAGUUGUCGACCAGCAUCCGCAAGAUUCCAGAAUUUUGCUUGACUCCGACAAAUUCCCAUGCAACCACCAAUUUCUUAGUGGUAUAAUCCAGAUAAGAGAUGUGAUGUCAUGGUGGGGUCCUCAACCAUUUCAAGUGAACAGUUUCAAGAAUUGCAAGAAUUGAGUCUGGAAGUUGGUGAGCAAGAGACAGGUGGAGUCGUUGAAGAAGGGUGUCACUGGCUAUAUUGUUCCCCGAACAUCUUCAGAAGGACAUGUGAUCGAAAAUGCUUGGCAAAACACAGAUAUUGCCAAAAAGCUGAUUCGAGAAGGGUGAUGAACAGUCAAUCAUAUUGUUAUGGAAUUCUGCAUUUUGUUUUGGGAUCACAUCUCAUCCUUCAACGAAACAUGCCUUGCUUUUGUCUCUUUGUUGUUUUGAAAUCAACAGAUGUUUAGCAUUUUAUUCUGACAAAAUAUUUUGAUCAAACUACAACAUGCGAUAAAGGUUAAUCAAUCCGGAAGAUUAGAAGUGUUUUGAUUACAGAAAUGACUCUAUGCUUGAAAAUGACAUGAGGUGACCAAACAAUUUUGAACUCAUACCUCCUGAAACUGAACCACACAUCAUAUAGCUAAGUUUUAACAGUAUGCAUAAUGACAUGUAGUGGAUUCGGUAGUCAUGGACUCGUGAAUCAUGACUCUUACAAGUCCAAAUCAUUACACUGGAUGAGGUCAAAAUUUAUCGGUUCUAACCGACCUUGCUUGAAAUGAGAAAAGGUCAUCUUUGAUAUCCUUCACUUUCUAAAGAUUAUAUCCCUUGCAGUCCCAUUUUGAGCCUGGUAAAAUAUUUUCUUUCAAAAGAAACCCUGACUAGGAUCACACCCCACACUGGGGGCAAAUGAGAGAUAUUUUGGAGACAUUGAUAAAUUAAUGGAUAAAGAAAGCUUAGAACAAAAGUCCAAUGUUUGAGAAAGGGCUAGCAGAAGAAAAUCCAUAGAUUGAGGGCCAUCCAAGAAAAACUUUGAGGAAGGCUAUGAAAAAAAAAAAAAAAUGGAAAGGAAAGAAAAUGCCUAUCAAUUCUAAGAGAGGCAAGACAGUUUUCAAUUGAAAAAAGACCAAAUGCCAAAAGUCAACACUAGAAAAAUCGAUGCUUCAUAUCUUUUGGUGUGUCUUGGAUAGAGCCUCUAAUGUCUUCAAAUAAUUAGAUUAGUUUAUUCAUCAAAGAAAAAGUUGGAUUUGCAUUAUGACCUAUGUUAAGAAAUUCUGAUAUUUGAAGAUUAACAAGGUUAUAUGUCACUCUCUACAAUGACAACAAGAGAAAGAGAAUCGAUGAAUAGUUAAUGUUGGUCCUAGGUCGUUGAAACCCUCAAACACCUUUUGAGCCUAUGGAAUUCCUUUCUUUCAUAGCCAUGAACCAUAGCCUGCAUUACGUGCUUUUAAAAGCCCUUUUUAAUCAAGCAAGCAAUCUGAACCGAUAAAUGGCGCUCUCAAAACUUGAAGAGUUUUUUAUAAGAGUCGUGGCUUCAUUGAAUUAAGCUACUGGUUAUUAUACAUGCUGAUAAAAUAAAUGCUAAGAAAAGAAACAACCUUUCUUGAUAAAGCCUGAGCAUCUUGUUUUUUGAAAUUCAUAAAAAUGUCACCUCAUCAUAGACUAUCAAAUGAUAUACCCAAUAUCAAGGAUUCAAAUUGAUACAAAGAACCAUGGAAAAAGCCAUUUUUAAUCCUACAUUGGGUCAAUUUCUGUUUUCAAAAUGCAUGACAAUCAAAGGACUAUAUAUUUCGAAUAACGUGUGUUGGGUCUUUGAUCAAAAAGCUUGAUUUUCAAAAGAUUUUCAAAAAAGGACAUCUCUGAUUUCAUUUCAACAAACUAGACUUUGAAUAGACAUGAUCUUUGAAAUAUGAGAGUUGAUUCCAGAACAAGGAAGAUUAUCAAACACAGAAGAACAUUGAUUGAGUAUGCAAAAUCAUUGAUAGAAAUGACAUUGACAAGUCCUCGACACUCCUUGAAAAGUUGAGCAGCUGGGGGCAAUACAGUAGACCUUGAAAAAAAAAACAAGCAGUGCUCAGAUCAGCUAUGAGGCAAUGAUUAAAUGAUGAAUCAGUGAACUGAAGACAAUGAUGUUCAAAGAAGAUAAUCAAUGAACGAGCACAUUCAGAUCAUGGGGGCAAUGUCAUUCCAAAAUGGCCCAUGCUCUAGUGAACCCUGUCGGCAAUGGAGAAACAAGGAUGUACUUGAAGGACACUUUCAUAUCAUCAUCUUUUGAAACAUGGCUAGCAAUCGAUGAAGAUACACAGAUGAAUGUAAUUGAAUGGUGAAAAGAUGCACACCACCAAGACUGACUGUGGAACAAUGCUGCACUUAAAGGACAAUCUCAUAUUGUCAUUCUUUGAAACAUGGUUAUAGAUAGAUGUUAUCACACAACUGCACUGAAUGAAUGUCGGAAAGGCACCCACCUCGAAGACUGAUUGUGGGACAACUUGUUCUGAAGCCAGAUGAGCGCUUCACCGCAUGAGUAUGAGUGAUAAAAGCAGCAUCAUUGAUGAGGCUGAGACAUUUCUUUUCACAAUCUGAUUAGAAGAGUUGAAAGGAAUCUAUGAGAAGCACUGAGCAUACAACCAUGAGCCUUUGUACUGCAAGCUAUGAGAUGCAUGUCUGGAUGACUGAUGAGUUCCAAGAAGGCUGAUGAUAACAUGUACUUGAAGAGUACUGUUUCAACUAGAGGCAAGUUCAUGACUGAUUAACAAUCUUGAUGGGUGUUGGCAUGAUGCACACAAUCAAUCAGAGGAUAAUUCUCAGAAGAAGCCAGGAGAGAAAAUCCUUCAUGAUGAAUCAAGCAGUACCACACUUGGGGGCAGGGUCAAGCUUGAUGAACGAUGCAAGCAGUAAUUGUCGAAGACAGCCCGGGAUGGGCACUGCAUUUACAGCUGAGUGGAUGGCUAGCACAUGAAUGAGCCAAUACAUCGGAAGAACAAAGAAAGCUUUGGGAUACAAACAAGGGCACCCUAUGACGAUGGAGCAUCAAAGAGGGGGGACCUAUAUUUCAAAUCAGGUAAGGAUGCAUGCAUAUCAUCUAACCUCAAAAAAAAAAAAAAAAAAAAAACAUUUGCACAUAUUUUUGAAUUGUUACAGGAAAAUCCUUAAUGAGGUCCAGCAAGAUGGUGGAAAGAGAAAGAAGCAUUGUGGUGAUGAUAAUAAAGAAUCGGUUUUGAUCAUGGAAUAAAAGGACGAUGGGAUGAACCCUACCAUUAGGAAAAUCCCAAAGAAAUGAAUAGAUCAACCUUGCAACCGGGAAGCCUCGAGUUUUCAACCCUUGCAGUCAGGAAACACCGAGUUUUCAAACCCAUGAUCGGGAAUUAUCAGGAAGCACCAAGUUUUCCAGCCCUUUCUUCUGUCAUCCCUUCAGAACUUCGCCAGGUAAGUCCUAUUUUUCACACUUGUAUAUCACAUUUUUUCCAUCUGGGUAGGUCGCCCAUCAUAAUAAGACCGUUUUCAUUUUUUCCAUCUGGGUAGGUCACCCAUGACAAUGAGACCGAUUUUCACAUUUUUUCCAUCUGGGUAGGUCACCCAUUACAAUGAGACCGCUUCACAUUCUUUCUAUUUGGGUAGGUCGCCCAUCACAACGAGACCACUUCAUCACAUUUUUCCAUCUGGGUAGGUCACCCAUUACAAUGAGACCACACUUCAUAUUUUUGGGUAGGUCACCCAUUACAAUGAGACCACACUUCAUAUUUUUUCCACGUGGGUAGGUCACCCAUUACAAUGAGACCGCACUUCACAUUUUUUCCAUCUGGGUUAGGUCACCCAUACAAUGAGACCAUCAUUUUUCUGGGUUCGUCACCCAUACAAUGAGACCAUCAUAUUUCUGGGUUCGUCACCCAUACAAUGAGACCAUCAUUUUUCUGGGUUCGUCACCCAUACAAUGAGACCAUCAUAUUUUUCUGGGUUCGUCACCCAUACAAUGAGACCAUCAUUUUCUAGGGUUCGUCACCCGUACAAUGAGACCACAUUUUCUAGGGUUCGUCACCCGUACAAUGAGACCAGCACUAGGGUUCGUCACCCGUACAAUGAGACCAGCACUAGGGUUCGUCACCCGUACAAUGAGACCAGCAGCACUAGGGUUCGUCACCCGUACAAUGAGACCAGCAUUUUUCGAGGGUUAGUCACCCGUACAAUGAGACCAGAAUGAGGUCGCCAGAUGGGAUCUCAUGUAGCUUUGGUUAAAGGGAAUCGCCAGAUGGGAUUUCAGGUUAACCGAGUUACACAUAUUUCGUUCCAGUUGAAUGAGGUCGCCAGAUGGGAUCUCAUGUAACUUUGGUUAAAGGGAAUCGCCAGAUGGGAUUUCAGGUUAACCGAGUUACACAUAUUUUCGUUCCAGUUGAAUGAGGUCGCCAGAUGGGAUCUCAGGUAAACCCAAUGUGUGGGCAGGUCGCCCGUGAAAAUAGACUAUUGGGAGAGUGUGGGUCGGUCGCCCGUGAAAAUAGACUUGAGUGAGUAUGUGUGGGCAGGUCGCCCGUGAAAAUAGACUUGAGUGAGUACGUGUGGGUAGGUCGCCCGUGAAAAUAGACCAGAGUGAGUAUGCGUGGGCAGGUCGCCCGUGAAAACAGAUCAGUGUGAGUGUGUGGGCAGGUCGCCCAAGAUAAUGAAAUCAUUUUCCUUUUGUUUUCUUUACAAAGCUUACUAUGCAAAAUUUUGAAGAGUUUUGCUUCGUAAGCAUUGUAAAGAGGGGGCAUCUGUUGCUACCAAUUUUUGACCCAUGUUUUGAUAUAUUUUCAAAAAAAUCCAAAAAUUGAGAAAAGCAAAGAAAAUCCAAAAAAUGUUUUUUAAUAUAUUUUCGUCAUUUUAGCAUUUUCAACGUCGUCUAAAAAAGAAUUUAAAUUGUUAAAAGAUUUUCAAACGCGUUCGAUUUUCACGCGUAUUUUUAAAUCAUUGAUUUUCGCAUUUAAGUCGACGUUGAUAUUGCUCGUUUUCAAAAAAUACAAAAAAAUAAGAAAAAUCAAAAUUUACAAAAAAAAGAAGUUGAGGGACCAAGUUGAAAAACCUAGCAAAAUUUUGCCUAUAAAUACUGCCAAACUGAUUUAAAGAGGGGGGUAAUUUUGACACUUUUAGAAGAAAAAAAUACAGAAACCUAACCCUAAAAAAAAAAAAAAACUUUUUCUUCACACCAGCCGCCCCCCCUUUUGUUUUCAUUUUUUUGGUCUCCCGGAGUUGCUCCUCGGUUUGAUUUUUCUGACCCAAAAAACCGGCCACCCGAACCAGCCUCCCCCUGUUUUCAUCUUCUUCUCCGCCGUUCCCUUUUUCUCGGCCACAAACAAAUCCAAAACAACAGUCCGAAGCCGCCCCCCUCAAUAUUCAACCCGACAACCCCAUUGCUGCCUCUCACCAGCCAAAGAAACCGCCCCCCCCCUUACCUUUGAAACCAAAACAGAACCUUUUCUUUUUCUUCAUCGCCAUUUUCCAGCUUCUCCUGCUCUUCCCCCACAAAAUCCUGGCCUCCACUCCGUAACCCCGCACCUUUUGAUUUGUUUUUGGCUUCUCCCUCAACUGACCAAACAGCAGCCCCCCAGCUUGAAUUUCUUUCCCCCGAUCUGUUCUUCUUUCUCUCCACCGCCGCAGGCCACGGUCUCCCACGCCAGCAGCAGCCUCGCCACCACCGAUCUCUAACCAACCGGCCAGCAGCAGCGUUUUCCUUCCCCAUCAGCGACCAAAACAGAGCCGUUCCCCCAUCUCCUCAGACCCACGGCUCCCGCUUCAGCCAGCGAGUCUUUCCUUCCUUAGCUGCCGAACAUCCUCCAGCGACAGCAAUAACCCACCGACGCCUUGACAGCAGAUCCGGUCACCCGAGACAGAGACGAGAGGAGGUAGAGAAACGGAAGAGACGAUCUGAAGAAGAAGAGGAAGCAGCAGAUCGGAGAAGAAAGAACAAAAAAAUCAGAUCCUAAAAUAAAGAAAUAAAAGCUUAAAAUCGACUGCUUGUUGCGUUUUGGGUGUUUUUGCAGGUAACACCGGCGAGGACGGGAAGAGGGGACGAAGCUGCCACCAGCCCCCCUGCUGCGUCCUUUUUUUUCCGGCGGCGCGUGAACCCACGCGCCGCCAGUGACGGUGGCGCGUGGGGAGACGCGCCACCACUGUUUGCUGCGGUGGCAGGAGGCUAUCAAUGCGAUUUCUGAAGUUUAGGGACUCUUUUUUUUGUAAUUUUUAAAUUAUGUAAUGUAUUUUUUUUUUAGUGUUUAGUUUUUAUAUUUUUUGUAAUGGGAUGUACAAAAAGAAAAGAAAGAGAAAAUAAUCAUAAAAAAGGGGUUGUGUGUGUUGGUGUAUUUUUAUUCAGUUUUUAUAAUUUGUAUUUUGUAUUUGUGGAUGGAAAAGAAAAAGAAAAGGAAAAGAAAAGAAACAAAAAUAGUGAAAGUGUAUGUGUGA
Molecule: long non-coding RNA, 10148 nt
Filed under: Populus tremula
Lineage: Eukaryota; Viridiplantae; Streptophyta; Magnoliopsida; Malpighiales; Salicaceae
Description: long non-coding RNA (PTRE_LNC000461)
Source: RNAcentral